This 275-nucleotide long non-coding RNA is filed under the name Trifolium pratense (red clover). RNAcentral's name for it is "long non-coding RNA (TPRA_LNC000299)". Lineage: Eukaryota; Viridiplantae; Streptophyta; Magnoliopsida; Fabales; Fabaceae. The record is from RNAcentral.
UCCAUUACACAAUAUCCGUAUAGGAUAACAGCUUCAUAUACAUUUGCUACACAACCCACAUAGACCCUAACCUGCUUUUCAAUAUCAUGUUCAAAUUCAAAGCAGUUCAUCUACUGCCGCAACCCAAAAUAAAGUCAAUCGUCAAUUGCAUUUUUAUUUUUCUUCCACUCAACACACGUUUCCGUUGCGCAACUCUGAUUUAUUUAGUAAGUAGCUUAUUGACCAUAAUCCAUAAUACCCACAUAUUUUACUCUCUAAAGUUUCAAGUUAUCAAC